GGAGGACACAGCUGGCUGGCUGCCUGAGGCCCCAGGGUCCUUCCUGGCUCCCUGUCCAGGCUCCACCCACAGUCACAGCAAUGCCUGGAACCUUCUAGGACAGCCAGAUCCUGACCUACCAGUAUGGGAUCCCCACCUCUCUCCGGAACACAGGCCAGCAGUGGGACUUCCCUAAUGGCUGGGCCCCUCUCCAGGACCUGGUCAUCAGAGGCUUGGCCAAGUCAUCUUCACCUCGGACCCAGGAAGUGGCUUUCCAGCUGGCCCAGAAUUGGAUUCGAACCAACUUUGACGUCUACUCACAAAAGUCAGCCAUGUAUGAGAAGUACGACAUCAGCAAUGGACAGCCGGGCAGUGGAGGGGAGUAUGAAGUUCAGUACCGGGAUUGAACUCAGAACCUUGUGCUUGUGAGGCAGGUAUGGCACCACUGAGCUAAACCCCUGGUCCUAGGAUCACUCUGAUUUUGAUUACAUGAAUGAGAUGUAGUGCAUAUUUAUGAAUCUUUAAUUUCUAGUAGGUAAAGGUGACUGAAGGUCAGGCCAGAAGACCCAAAUACUCAGUUGCUGUCACUUAGAGCUUUGAAGAUUUCCUGGUGUUUUGUUAUGUUAUUUUCUACCUCUUUUAGGAAGAUGGAAGAAGAAAUGGCCCUAGAGUAUAGUCCAAACUCAGAUGAGUGGAGGGGAGUGAUUUCCUCAGCCCCUUUUUUCUAACUGCACUAGUUUGCCUGGUCCAGUGGGUUGGCCUGAUGCUCCUGGACCACUAUGGUGACCAGCUGACCUCAGAGACCCAGCUGACUCUCCUGAUGCCCCACUGCCUGGUGGCCACCUUUCUCUCCCACCUCCUGUUCAGCUUCCUGCCAUGGUGGCUAUGGUGGCCACAAGGACCGACCAGGAGGCCACAUGCCCACCUCUAUCUAUCUGCAUGUCCUCGUCUGGCUCCAGCUCCUGCCUCCGUAAACUCCUGCACUACGCUCUCUCCUCCUGCUCCCUUCAGUCACCACCUUCCAACCUGUCUUCUGCUCAUCCUGCACUGGGGGCAGGGCAGUGACCUGGAGGCCAGGGGCUUUGGCCAGGGUUCCUGCUAGAGCCCCUUUACCUCCCUCUCUCUCUCUCUCUCCCUCUUUCUAUUAUAAAUGGUGUUUGAGCGGCCACUUGGAUACAGGCUUUGUGUGAGAAAAAGCUUUAUUCUUGUCCAGGUGUGAACAGGGACUGAAAUUGGGGGCAGAUUUCAGCAGCUAGCUGGGAAGAGCCAAAUUUAUUUCAUCGAUGUGUGGAUAGGCUGACAUCAAGAGAGAGAUAGUAGCAGCUAGCUGGAAGAGAAAACUACGUUUAUAUAGGAUUUGAGAAAGGGCUGUGAUCAUAGGGAAUGUUUAUGACUGAGGGCCCAAGAACAGUCAGCAUGAGUGUGCAGACAAUCACUGGACUUCUUAGUGCCGGGGAGAUUGUAUACUUGGUCCUAAAUUUUCUUUAUGGCCAUCUGUCCUAUUUACUGAGAGUAGCCUGUUGUUUGCAGAGAAUGGCGUGUUUGCUGUGGAGUUCUCAUUUAAGCCAGGCAUGACCCUCUCUCUCUCUCUCUCUUUUUUCUUUUUCUCUUUCUUCUUUUCAGUGCUAGAGCUUGAAACCAGGGCAUCUUGCCUGCAGGCAGGUACUCUACCAGUGAGCUAUACUCCCACCCUAGAACCUUUAAUAUGGUGGAGAUCUUGCUCUGGCAGGUGGGAGGAGACUCAUACCUACUGGCCAUUGUGCCCCAGCCCCACUGCCCCCACAACCUGUCCGUUCACAUACCUACUUAGUCCAAAUACAGUGCUACCUCAAUUUACAAACUUAAUUUGUUCCACAAUCCUGGGGAAGAUGGCUGCGUUCCUGUUUAUGCAGGGAAGAUGGCCACAGUCAUGUUCAUCACCUGAUACAGAGUUCACAAAUGGAAGCAAAAUUUUGCCAAAUGCUUCUGUUUGUGAACAGAACUGUUCGCAAACAGAAGCAUUUGUGAACCAAGGUUUUACUGUAUUCUGCUGAAAUCCUCACAAAUACUGAAGAACACCCGGCCCAGCCCCAAGCAAUCUAGGUCCCCUGGCUAGGGAUGGUGGAUAGGAGAGCUGUUGCUUCAAAGGAGCUUUAGAGAAGGAGUACAUGAUGAUAAAAUAAAAACUUCUUUAUUGUGUUUGGUUUUGGGGAUCAAACCCAGGGCCUUG
Molecule: non-coding RNA, 2188 nt
Organism: Heterocephalus glaber (naked mole-rat)
Lineage: Eukaryota; Metazoa; Chordata; Mammalia; Rodentia; Bathyergidae
Source: RefSeq, a predicted model, not a curated record